GACGCCUGCAGACAUUUGGGCUUUUCAAAAAUCGUUUUCUAAGUUUAUUUGCGUGUUUUUAUUGAACUAUUUCGCAUAUUAUGGUGCAUUGAGUGUCUAAUUGACUUUUUAUUGUGGUUUUUGACAGUUUCGUGGGAUAAAAUAUUUGUUAAGCAUCAAUUAGAAGUAUGAUUAAAUGACGUCACAAGAGAAGAUAUUACUUGAAAGAGCUUAUUCUUCAAACAAUUUUAGAAACAGUGAAUUCUGUUUUAUAGGAAGAUUAAUUGAUAUUUUAUAAAUUAUAUUAUAAA
Molecule: long non-coding RNA, 290 nt
Organism: Zerene cesonia (dogface butterfly)
Lineage: Eukaryota; Metazoa; Arthropoda; Insecta; Lepidoptera; Pieridae
Exons: 2
Source: RefSeq, a predicted model, not a curated record